CCUACGGGAGGCAGCAGUGAGGAAUAUUGGGCAAUGGACGAAAGUCUGACCCAGCAACGCCGCGUGGAGGAUGACGGCCGUAAGGUUGUAAACUCCUUUUGAAGGGGACGAAAAAUUUCGAUAACACUGAAACUUGACUGUACCCUUAGAAGAAGCCCCGGCUAACUACGUGCCAGCAGCCGCGGUAAUACGUAGGGGGCAAGCGUUGUCCGGAUUUACUGGGUGUAAGGGCGCGUAGGCGGGUUUGUAAGUCAGAGGUGAAAUCCUGCAGCUUAACUGUAGAAUUGCCUUUGAUACUGCAAAUCUUGAGUUCGGAAGAGAGUAGCGGAAUUCCAGGUGUAGUGGUGAAAUACGUAGAUAUCUGGAAGAACACCAGUGGCGAAGGCGGCUACUUGGUCCGUAACUGACGCUGAGAAGCGAAAGCGUGGGGAGCGAACAGGAUUAGAUACCCCGGUAGUCC
Molecule: ribosomal RNA, 460 nt
Filed under: uncultured bacterium
Lineage: Bacteria
Description: bacterial SSU rRNA
Rfam family: Bacterial small subunit ribosomal RNA
Source: RNAcentral